UGGGGAAUAUUGGGACAAUGGGGCGAAAGCCUGAUCCAGCAAUGCCGCGUGUGUGAAGAAGGCCUUCGGGUUGUAAAGCACUUUUGUCCGGAAAGAAAUCCUUGGCUCUAAUACAGUCGGGGGAUGACGGUACCGGAAGAAUAAGCACCGGCUAACUACGUGCCAGCAGCCGCGGUAAUACGUAGGGUGCAAGCGUUAAUCGGAAUUACUGGGCGUAAAGCGUGCGCAGGCGGUUUGCUAAGACCGAUGUGAAAUCCCCGGGCUCAACCUGGGAACUGCAUUGGUGACUGGCAGGCUAGAGUAUGGCAGAGGGGGGUAGAAUUCCACGUGUAGCAGUGAAAUGCGUAGAGAUGUGGAGGAAUACCGAUGGCGAAGGCAGCCCCCUGGGCCAAUACUGACGCUCAUGCACGAAAGCGUGGGGAGCAAACAGGAUUAGAUACCCCUGGUAGUCCACGCCCUAAACGAUGUCAACUAGUUGUUGGGGACUUCAUUUCCUUAGUAACGUAGCUAACGCGU
This 516-nucleotide ribosomal RNA is filed under the name uncultured bacterium. RNAcentral's name for it is "partial 16S ribosomal RNA". It matches the Rfam family "Bacterial small subunit ribosomal RNA", at positions 355 to 860 of the family's 1533-position model. The record is from RNAcentral.